CUACGGGUGGCUGCAGUGGGGAAUAUUGGGCAAUGGGCGCAAGCCUGACCCAGCAACGCCGCGUGAAGGAAGAAGGCUCUCGGGUUGUAAACUUCUUUUAACAGGGACGAAGAAAGUGACGGUAACGGAUGAAUAAGCCACGGCUAACUACGUGCCAGCAGCCGCGGUAAUACGUAGGUGGCAAGCGUUAUCCGGAUUUACUGGGGGUAAAGGGCGUGAAGGCGGGAAAGCAAGUCAGAUGUGAAAACCAUGGGCUCAACCUGUGGCCUGCAUUUGAAACUGUUUUUCUUGAGUACUGGAGAGGCAGACGGAAUUCCUAGUGUAGCGGUGAAAUGCGUAGAUAUUAGGAGGAACACCAGUGGCGAAGGCGGUCUGCUGGACAGCAACUGACGCUGAGGCGCGAAAGCGUGGGGAGCAAACAGGAUUAGAUACCCCUGUAGUC
This 442-nucleotide ribosomal RNA is filed under the name uncultured bacterium. Its description in RNAcentral is "partial 16S ribosomal RNA". It matches the Rfam family "Bacterial small subunit ribosomal RNA", at positions 339 to 795 of the family's 1533-position model. The record is from RNAcentral.